Molecule: ribosomal RNA, 441 nt
Filed under: Bacillus atrophaeus
Lineage: Bacteria; Bacillati; Bacillota; Bacilli; Caryophanales; Bacillaceae
Description: bacterial SSU rRNA
Rfam family: Bacterial small subunit ribosomal RNA
Source: RNAcentral
UAUUGGAUCGGUAUUUGUUCUUCCGGUACAUAAGAGGUAAGCUAUCGGCUAACUACGUGCCAGCAGCCGCGGUAAUACGUAGGUGGCUUGCGUUGUCCGGAAUUAUUGGGCGUAAAGGGCUCGCAGGCGGUUUCUUAAGUCUGAUGUGAAAGCCCCCGGCUCAACCGGGGAGGGUCAUUGGAAACUGGGGAACUUGAGUGCAGAAGAGGAGAGUGGAAUUCCACGUGUAGCGGUGAAAUGCGUAGAGAUGUGGAGGAACACCAGUGGCGAAGGCGACUCUCUGGUCUGUAACUGACGCUGAGGAGCGAAAGCGUGGGGAGCGAACAGGAUUAGAUACCCUGGUAGUCCACGCCGUAAACGAUGAGUGCUAAGUGUUAGGGGGUUUCCGCCCCUUAGUGCUGCAGCUAACGCAUAAGCACUCCUACGUGGAGACCGCACGGC